AGAACGAACGCUGGCGGCAUGCCUAACACAUGCAAGUCGAACGAAGCCUUCGGGCUUAGUGGCGCACGGGUGCGUAACGCGUGGGAACCUGCUUUUAGGUUCGGAAUAACAGUGAGAAAUUGCUGCUAAUACCGAAUAAUGUCUUCGGACCAAAGAUUUAUCGCCUUUAGAUGGGCCCGCGUUGGAUUAGCUAGUUGGUGGGGUAAAGCCUACCAAGGCGACGAUCCAUAGCUGGUCUUAGAGGAUGAUCAGCCACACUGGGACUGAGACACGGCCCAGACUCCUACGGGAGGCAGCAGUGGGGAAUAGUUGGACAAGUGGGCGAAAGCCUGAUCCAGCAAUGCCGCGUGAGUGAUGAACGGCCGUUAGGGUUGUAAGCUUCUUUUACCGAGGUAUGUAUAAUGACAGUACUGGAAGAAUAAGCUCGACUACGUCCGUGACCCAGCGAACGCCGACGGUAACUCGUAGACGCGGGUCU
Molecule: ribosomal RNA, 478 nt
Filed under: uncultured soil bacterium
Lineage: Bacteria
Description: bacterial SSU rRNA
Rfam family: Bacterial small subunit ribosomal RNA
Source: RNAcentral